AAAAAUUCAAAAAAAAAUUUCCUCAAAAAUUCAAAUUUUUUUUCACAAAACUAGAUUUCAUCAGUAACCUCAACAAUAUUGGUAAAAGAUCUUUAAGUCAAUCUAUAAGCCCAGCUUUGAAUUGAAGUUUAUUACACACCACAUAGUCUCCGAUAGACAUAAAUAAGAUCUUUUAUUUGGAUCCAAAGAUGAUAAUUUAAAUUAUUAAUAAUUCCACCGAGAUGAAUACUUUAUAAUCUCCAAUAAAAUUAUUUCUUCAAGAUUGAUAAUUAUUCCUUAAUUCUUUCAAAGGCAUAAGCUACAAAUUUAAGAGAAAAUAGAUCUAUGCUAAAACAUUCCAAAUCCAAGAUCAACUAAUGCAGAAACCAUUAAUCCUAGACUUGGGAUGCCAGAUUUCUCUCUCUCUCUCUCUCUCUCUCCUCCCUUCAUAGCAAAUAGAAGAACCUACUAAUAAUACGAUAAUAUCCAUAUUGGUCAAAAUCAAAAGCACUAUUCUUUUCAUUGACAACGAAAUUCUCCUUAACCAGAAAACCUGUUAGAAAAUAUUUCUCAAUCACAGAGUUAAUAUCGUUGACCAUCUUAAAAUAAUUUAAACAACCAAUAUUCUCAUAAUUUACUAAAUCACUUCCAAUCAAAAUCCCAAUUUGCAUUGUAAUUUGAAAAGAUCUAAAAUUUCAAAUUCUAGGUAAAGCCAAAGAAUAAUUCUAGAAUUUCUUCCCAAAUAUAUUUUCCAUCUACAUAGGAGUUUCAUACAUGAUCCACAUAUAGUUUUCAAUCCUCAAAGAAUAUUUCAAUGAAUAUCAUAUAUAUAUAUAUAGCCCAAACCUUAAACAACAUUUCAUAUCUGAACCUUAACUUGUCACCGAAUUAAUUAACUUCAAGCUAGAAGUAACAUCAUAGUACCCGAUAUCAAUUUGAACAUCCAAAAUACUUACAUUGCACGAUAAUAUUCCAAGACUAAUACUCUUUCAUUUAACUUAGUCAAAAUCCAAUUAAUAAUAUCUUGGAAUACAAAUUACUCCACCAAGAAAACUCUCAAAAUAGUCUAUUCAUACUUUGGCUAUAAACACAAUUAGCUAGCAUUUUGAUUUCAAUAUCACAAAAUUUAGAUAAGAUAGCACAAAUUUACCACUAACAAAAGUAAACAAAGAUAUUGGUCUUCUUGCCCCAUCUCUCAAACUUUCCGACAAAUUCUCAGAAUCCUAAAAGCUAAGCUCUGAUAUGACCAAUCAUGAUUCCCA
This 1241-nucleotide long non-coding RNA is filed under the name Phoenix dactylifera (date palm). Its description in RNAcentral is "long non-coding RNA (PDAC_LNC010115)". Lineage: Eukaryota; Viridiplantae; Streptophyta; Magnoliopsida; Arecales; Arecaceae. The record is from RNAcentral.